This 253-nucleotide unclassified non-coding RNA is filed under the name uncultured Anaerolineae bacterium. Its description in RNAcentral is "contains 16S-23S intergenic spacer region". It matches the Rfam family "Bacterial small subunit ribosomal RNA", at positions 524 to 776 of the family's 1533-position model. The record is from RNAcentral. Lineage: Bacteria; Bacillati; Chloroflexota; Anaerolineae.
UACGUAGGUGGCAAACGUUAUCCGGAGUUACUGGGCGUAAAGGGUCCGCAGGCGGGGCGUUAAGUCCGGCGUGAAAGCUCCCGGCUCAACUGGGAGAGGACGUCGGAAACUGGCGCUCUUGAAUCUCGCAGAGGUCGGUGGAAUUCCCGGUGUAGUGGUGGAAUGCGUAGAGAUCGGGAGGAACCCCGAAAGCGAAGGCAGCCGGCUGGGCGAAGAUUGACGCUGAGGGACGAAAGCGUGGGGAGCGAACAGG